Molecule: transfer RNA, 91 nt
Filed under: Blumeria hordei DH14
Lineage: Eukaryota; Fungi; Ascomycota; Leotiomycetes; Helotiales; Erysiphaceae
Also listed under: 1 other name
Description: tRNA-Ala for anticodon CGC
Rfam family: tRNA
About the family: Transfer RNA (tRNA) molecules are approximately 80 nucleotides in length. Their secondary structure includes four short double-helical elements and three loops (D, anti-codon, and T loops). Further hydrogen bonds mediate the characteristic L-shaped molecular structure. tRNAs have two regions of fundamental functional importance: the anti-codon, which is responsible for specific mRNA codon recognition, and the 3' end, to which the tRNAs corresponding amino acid is attached (by aminoacyl-tRNA synthetases). tRNAs cope with the degeneracy of the genetic code in two manners: having more than one tRNA (with a specific anti-codon) for a particular amino acid; and 'wobble' base-pairing, i.e. permitting non-standard base-pairing at the 3rd anti-codon position.
Source: Rfam by way of RNAcentral
GGGCGCUUGGUCUAGGGGUAUGAUUUUCGUUUCGCAACUCAUCAAGAGAGCAGAUUACGAAAGGUCGUGGGUUCAAUUCCCACAGCGUCCA